Molecule: long non-coding RNA, 427 nt
Filed under: Mytilus galloprovincialis (Mediterranean mussel)
Lineage: Eukaryota; Metazoa; Mollusca; Bivalvia; Mytilida; Mytilidae
Source: RNAcentral
AGAUGACAAUAGUGAUUGAAUAUAAGUAAUGUUGUUUGAAUAUGGAGUUCAAUCUUUCUUUAAUUUGUUCAUUGUUGAAGUCAGUUAUAGCUGACUAUACAGUUUGGGUUUUACUUUUUGUUGAAGGCAGUAUGGUGACCUAUAAUUGCUUACAUAUCUCUGGUGGAUUGUUAGGUCUUACCUAGGAACUAGCAGGGAAAAUUACAAAGACUUAAAACCGUUGGGUUUUUGCAAGUCUAAGAGUUGAUUCAGACAGGGUUCUGAUAAAUAUGUAGGAAGGAAAUUUUCUACCUAGUUAUUAAAAAUUAUAAAUGACAAAUAGAGAUCAGUAUUUAAACAUGAUACAUACCUUGUAUAUAAUAUGUCCUUGACUUUUAAACUGAAGAAAAUUGUACAAAUAUCUUGAUUAAAAUUAAUUGAAUGGGGU